Molecule: ribosomal RNA, 468 nt
Filed under: uncultured bacterium
Lineage: Bacteria
Description: partial 16S ribosomal RNA
Rfam family: Bacterial small subunit ribosomal RNA
Source: RNAcentral
GACGAACGCUGGCGGCGUGCUUAACACAUGCAAGUCGAACGGAAAGGCCCUGCUUUUGUGGGGUGCUCGAGUGGCGAACGGGUGAGUAACACGUGUGUAACCUGCCCUUGACUUUGGGAUAACUUAAGGUAACUGGGGCUAAUACCGGAUCGGAGAUCAUGCUGCAUGGUGGGGGUUGGAAAGUUUCGGCGGUUGGGGUUGGACUCGCGGCUUAUCAGCUUGUUGGUGGGGUAGUGGUUUACCAAGGCUGUGACGGGUAGCCGGCCUGAGAGGGUGACUGGCCACAUUGGGACUGAGGGACGGCCCAGAGUCCUACGGGAGGCAGCAGUGGGGAAUAUGGCACAAUGGUCGGAAGCCUGAGGCAGCAACGCCGCGUGCGGGAUGACGGCCUUCGGGUUGUAAACCGCUUUCGCCUGAGACGAAGCGUGAGUGACGGUAAUGGGUAAAGAAGCACCGGCUAACUACGUG